Molecule: transfer-messenger RNA, 365 nt
Filed under: Oceanobacillus halophilus
Lineage: Bacteria; Bacillati; Bacillota; Bacilli; Caryophanales; Bacillaceae
Description: Standard tmRNA
Rfam family: transfer-messenger RNA
About the family: Bacterial tmRNA, also known as 10Sa RNA or SsrA, is named for its dual tRNA and mRNA-like properties. Its role is to liberate the mRNA from a stalled ribosome. To accomplish this part of the tmRNA is used as a reading frame that ends in a translation stop signal.
Source: Rfam by way of RNAcentral
GGGGGCGUUACGGAUUCGACAGGGGUAGAUUGAGCUUGGGUUGCGCGUCGAGGUUACGACUCGUAAAACGUUAUCGCCUAAAUAUAACUGGCAAAACUAACAAUCAACCUGCUUUAGCAGCUGCGUAAGUAGCCUAAAGCGAUCCUUCCUACCAUCGCCCGUGUGGUAGUAUUGAAGGGUCUCAACUGUAGCGGGCUAUACGAUUAUCCACCGUCUGAGGAUAGUCGUUGAAAUGAAUCAGACUAGCUAUUCGGAAGCCUGUUGGUAGGCCGAAGAAAUAGUGAAUGAUAAUAUACCAACUACACGUGUAGAAGCCUAAGUGGCGAUAUCUCUGGACGUGGGUUCGAUUCCCACCGUCUCCACCA